This 497-nucleotide ribosomal RNA is filed under the name uncultured bacterium. RNAcentral's name for it is "partial 16S ribosomal RNA". It matches the Rfam family "Bacterial small subunit ribosomal RNA", at positions 28 to 507 of the family's 1533-position model. The record is from RNAcentral.
GACGAACGCUGGCGGCGUGCCUAAUACAUGCAAGUUGAGCGCUGAAGGUUGGUACUUGUACCGACUGGAUGAGCAGCGAACGGGUGAGUAACGCGUGGUGAAUCUGCCUUUGAGCGGGGGACAACAUUUGGAAACGAAUGCUAAUACCGCAUAAAAACUUUAAACACAAGUUUUAAGUUUGAAAGAUGCAAUUGCAUCACUCAAAGAUGAUCCCGCGUUGUAUUAGCUAGUUGGUGAGGUAAAGGCUCACCAAGGCGAUGAUACAUAGCCGACCUGAGAGGGUGAGCGGCCAAAUUGGGACGGAGACACGGCCCAAACUCCUACGGGAGGCAGCAGGAGGGAAUCUUCGGCAAUGGACGAAAGUCUGACCGAGAAACGCCGCGGGAGUGAAGAAGGUUGUCGGAUCGUAAAACUCUGUUGGUAGAGAAGAACGUUGGUGAGAGUGGAAAGCUCAUAAAGUGACGGUAACUACCCAGAAAGGGACGGCUAACUACGUG